UACGAAGGGGGCUAGCGUUGCUCGGAAUGACUGGGCGUAAAGGGUGCGUAGGCGGCGAGAUAAGUCAGGCGUGAAAUUCCCGGGCUCAACCUGGGGACUGCGUUUGAGACUGUUUGGCUAGAGGAUGGAAGAGGCUCGUGGAAUUCCCAGUGUAGAGGUGAAAUUCGUAGAUAUUGGGAAGAACACCGGUGGCGAAGGCGGCGAGCUGGUCCAUUACUGACGCUGAGGCACGAUAGCGUGGGGAGCAAACAGG
RNAcentral lists this ribosomal RNA (253 nucleotides) under uncultured bacterium. RNAcentral describes it as "partial 16S ribosomal RNA". It matches the Rfam family "Bacterial small subunit ribosomal RNA", at positions 524 to 776 of the family's 1533-position model. The record is from RNAcentral.